Molecule: ribosomal RNA, 226 nt
Filed under: Sillago sihama (northern whiting)
Lineage: Eukaryota; Metazoa; Chordata; Actinopteri; Sillaginidae
Description: partial 16S ribosomal RNA
Source: RNAcentral
UGCCCAUUAGCUAGCCCCUCAACUAGAAAUAUCAACCCAUUAUAAAUUAAACCAUAACUCCCCUAACUUAAAUUAGCUAAACCAUUCUCCCCCCUUAGUACGGGCGACGGAAAAGGGAUACGAGGAGCUAUAGAGAAAGUACCGCAAGGGAAUGCUGAAAGAGAAAUGAAAUAACCCAGUAAAGCGCAAAAAAGCAGAGGUUUUUCCUCGUACCUUUUGCAUCAUG